GAUGAACGCUGGCGGCGUGCCUAAUACAUGCAAGUCGAGCGAACAGACGAGAGUGCUUGCACUCUCUGACGUUAGCGGCGGACGGGUGAGUCACACGUGGGUAACCUACCUAUAAGACUGGGAUAACUUCGGGAAACCGGAUCUAAUACCGGAUAAUAUUUAGCUUCGCAUGAAGCAAUAGUGAAAGACGGUUCUGCUGUCACUUAUAGAUGGACCCGCGGUGUAUUAGCUAGUUGGUGAGGUAACGGCUCACCAAGGCAACGAUACAUAGCCGACCUGAGAGGGUGAUCGGCCACACUGGGACUGAGACACGGCCCAGACUCCUACGGGAGGCAGCAGUAGGGAAUCUUCCGCAAUGGACGAAAGUCUGACGGAGCAAUGCCGCGUGAGUGAAGAAGGUGUUCGGAUCGUAAAACUCUGUUGUAAGGGAAGAACAAGUGCGUUAGUAACUGAACGUACCUUGACGGUACCUUAACAGAAAGCCACGGCUAACUACGUG
RNAcentral lists this ribosomal RNA (499 nucleotides) under uncultured bacterium. RNAcentral's name for it is "partial 16S ribosomal RNA". It matches the Rfam family "Bacterial small subunit ribosomal RNA", at positions 28 to 507 of the family's 1533-position model. The record is from RNAcentral.